UUUUCCGCCACUAUUUGAAUU
This 21-nucleotide non-coding RNA is filed under the name Caenorhabditis elegans. The record is from RNAcentral. Lineage: Eukaryota; Metazoa; Nematoda; Chromadorea; Rhabditida; Rhabditidae.